RNAcentral lists this ribosomal RNA (445 nucleotides) under uncultured bacterium. RNAcentral describes it as "partial 16S ribosomal RNA". It matches the Rfam family "Bacterial small subunit ribosomal RNA", at positions 354 to 796 of the family's 1533-position model. The record is from RNAcentral.
GUGAGGAAUAUUGCGCAAUGGAGGCAACUCUGACGCAGCCAUGCCGCGUGCAGGAAGAAGGCGCUACGCGUUGUAAACUGCUUUUAACCGGGAAGAAACCCCAGGACGUGUCCUGGGUUGACGGUACCGGAGGAAUAAGCACCGGCUGACUUCGUGCCAGCAGCCGCGGUAAUACGAAGGGUGCAAGCGUUAUCCGGAUUCAUUGGGUUUAAAGGGUGCGUAGGCGGAGCGUUAAGUCAGUGGUGAAAUCCUGCAGCUUAACUGUAGACUUGCCAUUGAUACUGGCGCUCUUGAGUGCGCUUGAAGUGGGCGGAAUGUGCCGUGUAGCGGUGAAAUGCUUAGAUAUGGCACAGAACACCAAUUGCGAAGGCAGCUCACUAAGGCGAUACUGACGCUGAGGCACGAAAGCGUGGGGAUCGAACAGGAUUAGAUACCCGGGUAGUCC